Escherichia coli 53638 is the source of this 88-nucleotide non-coding RNA. The record is from Rfam. NCBI's taxonomy places the organism in Bacteria, Pseudomonadati, Pseudomonadota, Gammaproteobacteria, Enterobacterales, Enterobacteriaceae.
AAUUAUGGUGGGGCGUGCGGGGCAGUCGCAAGACUGGCCGGGUUCCGUGAUGACCGGUUGUAGCAACCCUGUACGUCUCACCACCCAU